This 344-nucleotide ribosomal RNA is filed under the name Pseudomonas sp. UCM B-375. Its description in RNAcentral is "bacterial SSU rRNA". It matches the Rfam family "Bacterial small subunit ribosomal RNA", at positions 51 to 395 of the family's 1533-position model. The record is from RNAcentral. Lineage: Bacteria; Pseudomonadati; Pseudomonadota; Gammaproteobacteria; Pseudomonadales; Pseudomonadaceae.
ACACAUGCAAGUCGAGCGGCAGCACGGGUACUUGUACCUGGUGGCGAGCGGCGGACGGGUGAGUAAUGCCUAGGAAUCUGCCUGGUAGUGGGGGAUAACGCUCGGAAACGGACGCUAAUACCGCAUACGUCCUACGGGAGAAAGCAGGGGACCUUCGGGCCUUGCGCUAUCAGAUGAGCCUAGGUCGGAUUAGCUAGUUGGUGAGGUAAUGGCUCACCAAGGCGACGAUCCGUAACUGGUCUGAGAGGAUGAUCAGUCACACUGGAACUGAGACACGGUCCAGACUCCUACGGGAGGCAGCAGUGGGGAAUAUUGGACAAUGGGCGAAAGCCUGAUCCAGCCAU